AGUAACAUGGAAAAAUACAGUGAGGUUAAACUACUAGCUUCCAUCUUGCUCUAAGGGAAGACAAAUACACAACUCUGAUCAAAAGGAAUGGUAUACUUUGAAGACUACCCUCAUUUGGAUGUGUUAGCAGUUCUGCAUACAAAUCACUGUUCAUCCUCCGAUGGAACUACAUCUCCAAAUUCUUCACUCUGGCUUCAGAUUCAUGUCUGCUAGGCCCUUCCCUAAACAACUGGUGGCUCCGCUUUCCAAGGGCUCACCACAUUGAUGGCAAGCUUACUAUGAACACUUGAUCAGCAUCUACUGCAGCUAAGGACUCUCAAACUCCAGAGAGCCACAAGUCAGCUUUCCCAGCCGACCUCAGAAA
Molecule: long non-coding RNA, 364 nt
Organism: Sarcophilus harrisii (Tasmanian devil)
Lineage: Eukaryota; Metazoa; Chordata; Mammalia; Dasyuromorphia; Dasyuridae
Exons: 3
Source: RefSeq, a predicted model, not a curated record